This 64-nucleotide transfer RNA is filed under the name Dipodomys ordii (Ord's kangaroo rat). It matches the Rfam family "tRNA". From Rfam's summary of the family: Transfer RNA (tRNA) molecules are approximately 80 nucleotides in length. Their secondary structure includes four short double-helical elements and three loops (D, anti-codon, and T loops). The record is from Rfam by way of RNAcentral. Lineage: Eukaryota; Metazoa; Chordata; Mammalia; Rodentia; Heteromyidae.
GGUGGCUCAGUGUUAGAGUGCUUGCCUCAAGUGCAAGAGGCCUGGGUUCGAUUCCUCAGCACCA